RNAcentral lists this ribosomal RNA (433 nucleotides) under uncultured bacterium. RNAcentral's name for it is "partial 16S ribosomal RNA". It matches the Rfam family "Bacterial small subunit ribosomal RNA", at positions 29 to 507 of the family's 1533-position model. The record is from RNAcentral.
AACGAACGCUGGCGGCAUGCCUAACACAUGCAAGUCGAACGAGACCUUCGGGUCUAGUGGCGCACGGGUGCGUAACGCGUGGGAACCUGCCCUUAGGUUCGGAAUAACUCCCCGAAAGGGGUGCUAAUACCGGAUAAUGUCUUCGGACCAAAGAUUUAUCGCCUUUGGAUGGGCCCGCGUUGGAUUAGCUAGUUGGUAGUGUAAAAGCCUACCAAGGCGACGAUCCAUAGCUGGUCUGUGAGGAUGAUCAGCCACACUGGGACUGAGACACGGCCCAGACUCCUACGGGAGGCAGCGGUGGGGAAUAUUGGACAAUGGGCGAUAGCCUGAUCCAGCAAUGCCGCGUGAGUGGUGAAGGCCUUAGGGUUGUAAAGCUCUGUUACCCGGGAUGAUAAUGACAGUACCGGGGGAAUAAGCUCCGGCUAACUCCGUG